This is a long non-coding RNA of Pan troglodytes (chimpanzee), 3228 nucleotides long. RefSeq lists it as uncharacterized. NCBI's taxonomy places the organism in Eukaryota, Metazoa, Chordata, Mammalia, Primates, Hominidae. The transcript is spliced from 5 exons. The record is from RefSeq and is a predicted model, not a curated record.
UGUUGAUAAAAGAGAUUCCAGAACAAAUAAAGAUUUCUACAGUAAAAGCUGGGGAGGUGUGUAGGGCUCCAGUCUUUGGGUUCACAGCUUGGCUCUACAUUCAUUGCUGGAGGAAUCCAAGCCUCACAAAAGACUGCUUUUAAAGAAAAAACUCUAUUUUUCUUAGAAGAACUAGAUUAAACUAAGAUCCUUUGCCAAUAAAAAGACAAACAAUAGAAAAUUCCUACAGAUUAAGAAUACCAACCAAGAUUUCAAUGAACUUACUUGCUUCAGCUCUGGGAGAACAGUUAAGACAUGGUGCUGAAUUACAUCAGUGAGGAACUAGAGGUACUUCAUAGAGGAGCUGUUUAAUUGAUGAAAGAAGACAUGAAGGUUUGAGUUGUUCAAGAACAAACCAAGGUUUGCUGUUUGUCACAGUUGCAGAUUCAAAUGCCUUUGGGAUCAAGCAGCUUUAACCAAACUUGAGUAAGAACUCCCUGACUUGGAAACACUCAAGUUUCCCACACGCAACUGGAUGGCCCUGGCCACACUGGGAACGGAAUGGGGGCCUCCCAUUGGAACUCGGGGUGGAGGGGGAAGCUCGACCAGCUAUUGUGGCCCCCACUUCCAUUGACAAAAAAGAAAACCUGCAGAUUCCAUUGAUCUGGCAUGGAGCUGGAUGUCUUUCAGGAUGAAGAGUUUUCAUUAAAACACGACCACAACAAAGCAAGAAAAAAGAGCAAUUGAUGUAAGCAUGCCAGUCAGGUUCACAUGUUAAGAAACAGAAUAAAAAGAAAUAAAAAUUGAUAAACAAUUGUUAAUCAUACCAAGGCCCUAUAUAAAUAUGACUUGCUAUUAUGCAUAAUACAAUACAUGGCAUUUUUGUCUUGGAACCUGUCCAAUAUGGUUUAUUAUUGGAAGAAUUGGGUGAAUCUUGUUAAAACACAGCUUUACCUGAAAUUUGAUCCCUAGGUGUGAACCCAGAGGACAAUGUUACGGGGAUUUUCCAAUUAUGGUUUUAAGUAAGGAGUUGUGGAGUUCUCAUUUCAUCCUCUUCAAAAUUUCUUGCUUUAAAUGAAUGAGUAGACGGAAUUAUUCUCCUUUUAAAAAACAAUUGUUCUGCUUGGUGAAGACCAGAAGAAUCAUGCCAGUUCUAAUGCAGGAGAGAAAUACAUUUUAAAAAAGAAAUAUCCUUGGCUAUACAGUUGAUUGCCUUUCUAUUCAAAUUUAAUCUGAGCAAUAUAUAAUUUUAAUUACAGAAAUUAGAGGCUACAAAUCAGAAAUAUCCUUACAUUUCUUGAGUUAACAAAAAUGAUCUUCCUUUACUUGUGUAAAAUUUCAUUUGGAAAAAGGGAAAAGAGAGUAAAGAGAUGGAGUAAAAAGAUGUGCAUCUGUAAUGUUGGCUCUGUGCAAUCAGUAUCUUGAUAACCGUAUUUUAUACAAACUCUCCGGCAAAACCAGAGAGUCAAGAUGUUUUAGGAAUUACUCCUCCUCACUCCUCCACCCCCACAUUCCACCACUGGGAGUCAAAUUGUCUGUGGAAAAAUACAUCCUAAUAUUAAAAACGGCUUUCUGAUUGAACUGUGGCAUAUUCUUGAAGCUGCUGUGCAAGAGUCUCUAGCAAGAGUUUAAAAAUUCUAUAGAUCAGGUACUUAAUGAUUUACAGAAUACGAAAAAUAACGCUGGUGGUUUGAGCUGAAAAGCACUUUGUCAGGACUGCCUAUGAUCUCCUUAAUACUGACAAAGAAUAAUGAUACAUAUUUCCAUCCAUUAUGGUUGGGUUGAGGUGAGGGUCAAAAGCUGGGCUCUAUGAGAUACUGAUUCCUAGACAGUCCCCAUCCUCCUCAUCCCCACUGGUCUCUGGGCUGAGUCUAUACUCAGGCAGAGGAGAGAUAACUGCUAUAGUCAAACUCAGGACUGCUGUGAUGGAUCUAUUUCUUUCUUUUUAUUUAUUUUUUUGAGAUAAGGUCUCACUCUUUCACUCAGGCUGGAGUGCAGUGGCACGAUCACGGCUCACUGCAGCAUUGACCUCCUGAGCUUCGGCGAUCCUCCCAUUUCAGCCUCCCCAGUAGCUAGGACUACAGGUGUACACCACCACAACCAACUAAUUUUUUUUGUGUAUAUUUUUUGUAGAGACGGGGUUUCUCCAUGUUGCCCAGGCUGUUCUGGAACUCCUGGGCUCAAGUGAUCCACCUGCCUUGAUCUCCCAAAGUGCUGGGAUUAUAGAUGUGAGGCACCAUUCUGGGCCAGGAUCUAUUUCUUUUGUGCCCUGGUUUAUUUCAGGGUGUUGUAUGCAGGACACUGAUCAACCCUCACAUUCUCUGCCUACAGUGUAUAUAACUGUGCUGAAGAGGCUUUUCCCAGAGCCAGACUCUAAACCUUGGAUAUAUACAGAUGCCCAAAUGCUGUAAAGUACUAUAGAGUGCAGAUCAUUAUAUAGUAUGAAUAUGAUCAUUUCCAAAAAGCAAUGUGAUUUUAAAACUUGCUUUAUUGCCUAAGCUCUGGAAUUGAUUAUUUUUCAAUCUUUUUUGGAUACCUGUGUUAUCUUGGUCAAUGUAAAUUAAUAAGAAUGAUGGUUAUGAAUAAUGUGCUGUCAUUGACAUUUACUUGGAUGUCAGAGAAUGGAUGUUAGCAGUGGGGAUAUCUGUGUGGAUGCAGAACCUGGUAUUCAUUCCUUCUAACUCACUAGCUUUAGAAUUUAUUCUUCCUGGGGGCAGUUCCAAGAUGGCUGAAUAAGAACAGCUCCAGUCUACAGCUCCCAGCAUGAGUGAUGCAGAAGACGGGUGAUUUCUGCAUUUCCAACUGAGGUACAGGGUUCAUCUCACUAGGGCUUGUCAGACAGUGGGUGCAGGACAGUGGGUGCAGCACACCGAGAGUGAGCCGAAGCAGGGUGAGGCAUCACCUCACCUGGGAAGCGCAAGGGGUCAGGGAAUUCCCUUUCCGAUCCAAGCAAAGCUGUGACAGACAGCACCUGGAAAAUCAGGUCACUCCCACCCUAAUACUGCACUUUUCCAAUGGUCUUAGCAAAUGGCACACCAGGAGAUGAUAUCCCGUGCCUGGCUCAGAGGGUCCCAUGCCCACGGGGCCUCAAUCAUUGCUAGCACAGCAGUCUGAGAUUGAACUGCAAGGCAGCAGCAAGGCUGGGGGUGGAGGGGCACCCACCAUUGCUGAGGCUUGAGGAGGUAAACAAAGUGGCCAGGAAGCUCGAACUGGGUGGAGCCCACCGCAGCUCAAGGAGGGCUGCCUGCC